RNAcentral lists this ribosomal RNA (1361 nucleotides) under Burkholderia cenocepacia. RNAcentral describes it as "bacterial LSU rRNA". It matches the Rfam family "Bacterial large subunit ribosomal RNA", at positions 1581 to 2925 of the family's 2925-position model. Lineage: Bacteria; Pseudomonadati; Pseudomonadota; Betaproteobacteria; Burkholderiales; Burkholderiaceae. The record is from RNAcentral.
GGGAGCGAAGCAAUUGGAAGUGGUUCCAAGAAAAGCCUCUAAGCUUCAGUCUAACGAUGACCGUACCGCAAACCGACACAGGUGGGCGAGAUGAGUAUUCUAAGGCGCUUGAGAGAACUCGGGAGAAGGAACUCGGCAAAUUGGUACCGUAACUUCGGGAUAAGGUACGCCCUUGUAGCUUGACUGGCCUGCGCCAGGAGGGUGAAGGGGUUGCAAUAAACUGGUGGCUGCGACUGUUUAAUAAAAACACAGCACUCUGCAAACACGAAAGUGGACGUAUAGGGUGUGACGCCUGCCCGGUGCCGGAAGAUUAAAUGAUGGGGUGCAAGCUCUUGAUUGAAGUCCCGGUAAACGGCGGCCGUAACUAUAACGGUCCUAAGGUAGCGAAAUUCCUUGUCGGGUAAGUUCCGACCUGCACGAAUGGCGUAACGAUGGCCACACUGUCUCCUCCCGAGACUCAGCGAAGUUGAAGUGUUUGUGAUGAUGCAAUCUACCCGCGGCUAGACGGAAAGACCCCAUGAACCUUUACUGUAGCUUUGCAUUGGACUUUGAACCGAUCUGUGUAGGAUAGGUGGGAGGCUAUGAAACCGGAACGCUAGUUUCGGUGGAGCCGUCCUUGAAAUACCACCCUGGUUUGUUUGAGGUUCUAACCUUGGCCCGUGAUCCGGGUCGGGGACAGUGCAUGGUAGGCAGUUUGACUGGGGCGGUCUCCUCCCAAAGCGUAACGGAGGAGUACGAAGGUACGCUAGGUACGGUCGGAAAUCGUGCUGAUAGUGCAAUGGCAUAAGCGUGCUUAACUGCGAGACCGACAAGUCGAGCAGGUGCGAAAGCAGGUCAUAGUGAUCCGGUGGUUCUGUAUGGAAGGGCCAUCGCUCAACGGAUAAAAGGUACUCUGGGGAUAACAGGCUGAUACCGCCCAAGAGUUCAUAUCGACGGCGGUGUUUGGCACCUCGAUGUCGGCUCAUCUCAUCCUGGGGCUGUAGCCGGUCCCAAGGGUAUGGCUGUUCGCCAUUUAAAGAGGUACGUGAGCUGGGUUUAAAACGUCGUGAGACAGUUUGGUCCCUAUCUGCCGUGGGCGUUGGAUAUUUGAAGGGGGCUGCUCCUAGUACGAGAGGACCGGAGUGGACGAACCUCUGGUGUACCGGUUGUCACGCCAGUGGCAUCGCCGGGUAGCUAUGUUCGGAAGAGAUAACCGCUGAAAGCAUCUAAGCGGGAAACUCGCCUUAAGAUGAGAUAUCCCUGGGGACUAGAUCCCCUUGAAGGGUCGUUCGAGACCAGGACGUUGAUAGGUCAGGUGUGUAAGCGCAGUAAUGCGUUCAGCUAACUGAUACUAAUUGCCCGUAAGGCUUGAUCCUAUAACG